RNAcentral lists this ribosomal RNA (305 nucleotides) under uncultured Anaplasma sp. RNAcentral describes it as "bacterial SSU rRNA". It matches the Rfam family "Bacterial small subunit ribosomal RNA", at positions 494 to 798 of the family's 1533-position model. Lineage: Bacteria; Pseudomonadati; Pseudomonadota; Alphaproteobacteria; Rickettsiales; Anaplasmataceae. The record is from RNAcentral.
CGGCAAACUCCGUGCCAGCAGCCGCGGUAAUACGGAGGGGGCAAGCGUUGUUCGGAAUUAUUGGGCGUAAAGGGCAUGUAGGCGGUUCGGUAAGUUAAAGGUGAAAUGCCAGGGCUUAACCCUGGAGCUGCUUUUAAUGCUGCCAGACUAGAGUCCGGGAGAGGAUAGCGGAAUUCCUAGUGUAGAGGUGAAAUUCGUAGAUAUUAGGAGGAACACCAGUGGCGAAGGCGGCUAUCUGGUCCGGUACUGACGCUGAGGUGCGAAGGCGUGGGGAGCAAACAGGAUUAGAUACCCUGGUAGUCCAC